This 918-nucleotide ribosomal RNA is filed under the name uncultured bacterium. Its description in RNAcentral is "bacterial SSU rRNA". It matches the Rfam family "Bacterial small subunit ribosomal RNA", at positions 10 to 919 of the family's 1533-position model. The record is from RNAcentral.
AGUUUGAUCCUGGCUCCAGGAUGAACGCUAGCUACAGGCUUAACACAUGCAAGUCGAGGGGCAGCGGGAUUGAAGCUUGCUUCAAUUGCCGGCGACCGGCGCACGGGUGAGUAACGCGUAUCCAACCUUCCGUACACUCAGGGAUAGCCUUCCGAAAGAAAGAUUAAUACCUGAUGGUAUGAUGAGAUUGCAUGAUAGCAUCAUUAAAGAUUUAUCGGUGUACGAUGGGGAUGCGUUCCAUUAGGUAGUAGGCGGGGUAACGGCCCACCUAGCCAACGAUGGAUAGGGGUUCUGAGAGGAAGGUCCCCCACAUUGGAACUGAGACACGGUCCAAACUCCUACGGGAGGCAGCAGUGAGGAAUAUUGGUCAAUGGACGAGAGUCUGAACCAGCCAAGUAGCGUGAAGGAUGAAGGUCCUACGGAUUGUAAACUUCUUUUAUAAGGGAAUAAACCCUCCCACGUGUGGGAGCUUGUAUGUACCUUAUGAAUAAGCAUCGGCUAACUCCGUGCCAGCAGCCGCGGUAAUACGGAGGAUGCGAGCGUUAUCCGGAUUUAUUGGGUUUAAAGGGAGCGCAGACGGGUCGUUAAGUCAGCUGUGAAAGUUUGGGGCUCAACCUUAAAAUUGCAGUUGAUACUGGCGUCCUUGAGUGCGGUUGAGGUGUGCGGAAUUCGUGGUGUAGCGGUGAAAUGCUUAGAUAUCACGAAGAACUCCGAUUGCGAAGGCAGCACACUAAUCCGUAACUGACGUUCAUGCUCGAAAGUGUGGGUAUCAAACAGGAUUAGAUACCCUGGUAGUCCACACGGUAAACGAUGGAUACUCGCUGUUGGCGAUAUACUGUCAGCGGCUUAGCGAAAGCGUUAAGUAUCCCACCUGGGGUGUACGCCGGCAACGGUGAAACUCAAAUGAAUUGACGGAAG